UACCGGUAAAAUGGAGCAGCAUAGCAAGUGCUACUGUAGCGUACCUUUUUGCUCUAAGAAUAAAAGAAAACAUCCACAUUGAAAUUUUCACGACUUCCCCAAAAAUGUACAUUUACGCCUUAAAUGGAUUACUGCAAUUAGGUGCCAAAUUUACUAUUCUGCGUGGCAGUACGUAUGUGUGUAGCCUGCACUUCAACCCUGAGGAGUUGUAUGUGAAAGAGGGAGGGAGCAGAGUUAGACUUAGAAAGGGAUCGGUUCCAUCGCGAUUUGCCUGGAAUGAUUUUGGGAGUCGGAAGGAUCGUCAGGCACCAUACAAGAGGGCAAGUACUCGCCUCGGUUUUAACAUUGAAGCCGCAACGGGAGAGAGAGACGAGCAGGAACCGGGAGCUAUGCUAAAUGAGCCUAUGGCUAAUGUUAUGAAGCAUGAUUACUGGCAUCCUCCGUCUCCCGGUGGUGCAGUGGAUGCUGCAUCUGCAAGGAUACAGGAGCUGGAGCACAAGGUGAUGGAGCUGGAGAAUGAAAUAAAGCAGAUUCUGUUUCUGACAGACCAACCUAAGCUGAAUUAUUUCAAUAAUAAUAACAAUUCAAUAAGUCAUUUUCAGGUUCUAGAAUAUUUCAGUUCAGAUUCAUGUAUUUUUUCUAAUUUACUUUGUACAAAACUCUGCUUACAUGCUUAAACCUUUUCAUCACUUUUCUCAACCACUCAGGGCCAUAGCUAAUGAUCUGGGGCCAUUAACAUCGUAUGUAAAUAGGCAUGUAAAAAAUCUGGGUGUCAUUUUUGAUCCCGCUCUUAAGUUUGAGAAACAAGUUAAUGCUGUUGUGAGAGCUAGUUUCUUUCAACUUAGGAACAUUGCUCAAAUGAAAAGUAUCCUUUCUUUUAAUGAUUUGGAAACAGUAGUGCAUGCUUUUAUUUCCUCGCGUAUCGAUUUUUGCAAUUCACUGUACUUGGGAAUCAGUCAGUCAAGCUUGUCACGUCUACAGCUGGUUCAAAAUGCAGCCGCGAGGCUCCUGAAAAGAAAAGGGAGAGCAUUACCCCCAUACUUGCAUCAUUGCAUUGGUUACCAGUCAAAUAUAGGAUAGAAUUUAAAGUUCUAUUACUUGUUUUUAAGGCUUUACAUGGCUUGGCUCCGAGCUAUAUCGUUGACCUUCUCUGUGUUUACUCCACUCCAUGAGCUCUACGAUCCUCUAACCAACUGCUCUUAGCUAUUCCACGUUCUCAAAUGAGGUUUAAGGGUGACAGGGCCUUUUCUGUAGCUGCCCCAAGACUCUGGAAUAGUCUUCCACUUUUCAUAAAGGAGUCCCACACAAUAGAUGCCUUUAAGUCAAAUUUAAAAACUUAUUUGUUUUCUUUGGCAUUUGAGUCUUCUUAAUGAAUACGUUUUUAAUAUUUUUUAGGUUGUCAUAGCCAUCUUUGUUUUAGUGGUUUUAUUUGAUUUAUAUGUUGGUGCGUAUGUAUGUUAUUUUGUAUGUAUGUUAAUGAUUUGUUAAAUGUUAUAUGCAUAAUUGAGUGUUAUUUAUACUUGAUUUUAAUGUACAGCACUUUGGUUGACACACGUUGUCUUUUAAAUGUGCUAUAGAAAUAAAGGUGAUUUGACUCUCCCUCAAGCAAAUAUGGUUUCUCUAUGGUUAGUUGUUCAGGUGUUAUGGUUAUUGUCUAGAGGAUGUUUUUGUAUGUUGAUGUUGCUUCUGUUGAAACAACACUGGAUAUGGAAAAAUGUUUCAUGAAUUAAGAUGAUCAUUUUAAUGAAUUUAAGUAAUUCAAGUUUGCAUACUUUUAUAAAUAUUUACUAAUAUAAUAAAUCAAAUACAUUUUAACCUUC
This is a long non-coding RNA of Trichomycterus rosablanca, 1820 nucleotides long. RefSeq lists it as uncharacterized. NCBI's taxonomy places the organism in Eukaryota, Metazoa, Chordata, Actinopteri, Siluriformes, Trichomycteridae. The record is from RefSeq and is a predicted model, not a curated record. The transcript is spliced from 2 exons.